RNAcentral lists this long non-coding RNA (5571 nucleotides) under Malus domestica (apple). Its description in RNAcentral is "long non-coding RNA (MDOM_LNC017464)". Lineage: Eukaryota; Viridiplantae; Streptophyta; Magnoliopsida; Rosales; Rosaceae. The record is from RNAcentral.
AUGUACAUUGAAGGCCUAGUUUUCAAUUUUAUGUUUCAUAUCAACUGUUUUAUUAGUCCUAAACUAACCUUGCCCCAAUAUGGGCUAUAAAGUCAGUUAAAUAUGUAUAUUUGAUUACAAUGGUUUAACCUUAAGUUCAACAACAACAACAACAACAACAACAAAGCCUUUUCCCACUAAGUGGGGUCGGCUAUAUGAAUCCUAGAACGCCAUUGCGCUCGGUUUUGUGUCAUGUCCUCCGUUAGAUCCAAGUACUCUAAGUCUUUUCUUAGAGUCUCUUCCAAAGUUUUCCUAGGUCUUCCUCUACCCCUUCGGCCCUGAACCUCUGUCCCGUAGUCACAUCUUCGAACCGGAGCGUCAGUCGGCCUUCUUUGCACAUGUCCAAAUCACCAGAGCCGAUUUUCUCUCAUCUUUCCUACAAUUUCGGCUACUCCUACUGUACCUCGGAUAUCCUCAUUCCCAAUCUUAUCCUUUCCCGUGUGCCCACACAUCCCACGAAGCAUCCUCAUCUCCGCUACACCCAUUUUGUGUACGUGUUGAUGCUUCACCACCCAACAUUCUCUGCCAUACAACAUCGCUGGCCUUAUUGCCGUCCUAUAAAAUUUUCCCUUGAGCUUCAGUGGCCUACGACGGUCACACAACACGCCGGAUGCACUCUUUCCAUCCAGCUCGUAUUCUAUGGUUGAGAUCUCCAUCUAAUUCUCCGUUCUCUUUGCAAGAUAGAUCAUAGGUAACGAAAACGGUCGCUUUUUGUGAUCUUCGCUAGAUUGCUCCGGUCAUUAGUGUGGAUAAGUAUAUAAAUGGAUAGAGAUAGGAAAGCAAACACAAGAUGUACGUGGUUCACCCAGAUUGGCUACGUCCACGGAAUAGAAGAGUUCGCAUUAAUUGUGAAGGGUUUACACAAGUACAUAGGUUCAAGCUCUCCUUUAGUGAGUACGAGUGAAUGAUUUAGUACAAAUGACAUUAGGAAAUAUUGUGGGAGAAUGAUCUCGUAAUCACGAAACUUCUAAGUAUCGGAGUGUGGUGUCGUCUUGACUUGCCUUAUCUGUCUCAUAGGUAGAUGUGGCAUCUUCUCUGGAAGUACUCUUCCUCCAUCCAGGGGUGGUAUCUUUAACUGGUGGAGAUGCACAAGGUAAUGUAUCAAUUUCACUUGAAGCUUACUUGUAGUUUCAGGCUUGGUCAAGCGCGAUACAAACCAUGUAGUAGGAGUCCCCCAAGUCGCCGAGCUAGGGGGUCUGCUGAAAGAGGUGACAGACAAGGUAAAGCAAUCAGAGCUCCGACUGAUUGUUCACCUUCUCCCCAUCUUGCAGCAGCAUGAAGGAUAAAGAGAAGAAAAAUGAGAAGAGAUGAUAUGAGAUACUUUUGCUUUUGAAGAAGUAACUUUCCACAGGCUUAUUCUUGAACUGAGCUGGAGGGUUUUCUGGUUUCCUCCAGAGUAUAAGGCCGACUGAAGAAUUUGAGGGUCAAAACAAGUCCAUCAAAUCUAGAGUACGUUCCACCCUGCUGAUAUGGGAUACUUUUGCUUUUGACAGAGUAAUGGAUGUAUCGGCACGUGUGCUGUUACGCUUGUCUCCACAUGCUUCCUUGUAUCCUUCGCACUUGCCCUAUCUGUUCCUCAAGCAGAUGCGGAAUCUUCCCUGGAAACAUAAGAUGUUGAAGAUGAGUACUCGAGAGCAAUGCCAGGUAAGUAAUCAGGUAAGGGGUUCCAGGCAGUCAGUUCCUGGCUGGAAGCUUGAUUCCAAGUGCUGACUGAUUGCUCUCUUUCUCCUUGUCUUGCAGGUAAAAACAAGGCCAAAAGAAAAAACAGGAAAAAAGCAUGAUAUGGGAUACUCUUGCUUUUAACCCUGAUGAUAUGAGAUAUUCUUGCUCUAGUAUAGCUUGUUUGCAGAGGUAUUAUCGGGGGGAAAGAAAGCUGAAUAUUUCGAAAGGCUUUGUUGGGAGUGCCCUCUCAGAUAUGAUGAAGGGUUGAGCAUUUUUGCAGGUCUGCCUGUCCGUUGGGGAUGGAGGUCGACAUAUAUAGGAGUCUCCCUAACAACAAGUAGUAAUGCUAUUCCUUUACCCUGCUUGGUCAUAGCACGGUAGUGGGAGCUGCCAGUUUCACAUGUUUUAACUCUGUCAGAGCACUUUGAAAAAGUGGUCUAUGGUAUCUGGCUCUCGAGAUUCGGAGAACGAUGCCUCUUCGAUUUUUGAGAAAGCAAUCAUGUUGGGGGUCUGACUCUCGAGAUUCGGAGAGCAGUGUCUCUUCGAUUUUUGAGGAAGUAAUCAUGUUGGGAGUCUGGCUCUCGAGAUUCGGAGGGCGGUGCCUCUUCGAUUUUGGAGCAAGCAAUCUUGUUGGGAGUGUUGUCUCGAAUGUGAGUAAAGGUUGGACAUGUUUGCUAGUCUACCUUGCCACGAAGCACAAAGGUUGACACAUAGGGACUUUCCAAUUAUCCAGCAAUGGUACUGUUCCUUUACCCUCUCUUCGAUUUUGAGAAAGUAGUCAUGUUGGGAGUCUGGCUCUCGAGAUUCGGAGGACGGUGCCUCUUCGAUUUUGGAGCAAGCAAUCUUGUUGGGACUGUUUUUCUCGAAUGUGAGUAAAGGUUGGGCAUGUUUGCUAGUCUACCUUGCCACGAAGCACAGAGGUUGACACACAGGGACUUUCCAAUUAUCCAGCAGUGGUACUGUUCCUUUACCCUUGUGGGUAAUAAUAUGGUAGCUAGACCUUCAAAAUUUAUGUGUCUAAACUUUGUUAGUGCUGUUUCUUUGCUAUUCUUUUACCUUUCUUGGUCAGAGCGAUGUAGUGGGAGCUGCAAGCUUCACGUGCUCAACUUUGGCAGAGAACUUUGGCAAAGUGAUCUGUGGUACCCAUGAGUUAUUGUUGCGUGUGGGAAGUGGGUGAUUGAACAGUAAGAUUCAUGUGCUUUCUACUUCACCAGAAGUCUUCGACAGAAUGCCCAUAAUUUCUGCAAAGCUGAGUGUGCGUGUGUGACAGGUGCUGACAAGGCUAGAAAAGUAGGUGCCUCUUUGAUUUCUGAGAUCGGCCCUCGUGGUCUCUGAGCAGCCCAGCUUUUGAGAAAGCGAGCGCCUCUUCGAUUGAUUCGGAGAACGGUGCCUCACCGAUUUUUGAGAAAGCAAUCAUGCUGGGGGUCUGGCUCUCGAGAUUCGGGGAGCAGUGUCUCUUCGAUUUUUGAGAAAGUAAUCAUGUUGGGAGAGUGGCUCUCGAGAUUCGGAGGGCGGUGCCUCUUCGAUUUUGGAGCAAGCAAUCUUGUUGGGAGUGUUUUCUCGAAUGUGAGUAAAGGUUGGGCAUGUUUGCUAGUCUACCUUGCCACGAAGCACAGAGGUUGACACACAGGGACUUUCCAAUUAUCCAGCAAUGGUACUGUUCCUUUACCCUCUCUUCGAUUUUUAAGAAAGUAGUCAUGUUGGGAGUCUGGCUCUUUAGAUUCGGAGGACGGUGCCUCUUCGAUUUUGGAGCAAGCAAUCUUAUUGGGACUGUUUUCUCGAAUGUGAGUAAAGGUUGGGCAUGUUUGCUAGUCUACCUUGCCACGAAGCACAGAGGUUGACAUACAUGGACUUUCCAAUUAUCCAGCAAUGGUACUGUUCCUUUACCCUUGUGGGUAAUAAUAUGGUAGCUAGACCUUCAAAAUUUAUGGGUCUAAACUUUGUUAGUGCUGUUUCUUUGCUAUUCUUUUACCCUUCUUGGUCAGAGCGAUGUAGUGGGAGCUGCAAGCUUCACGUGCUCAACUUUGGCAGAGAACUUUGGCAAAGUUAUCUGUGGUACCCAUGAGCUAUUGUUGCGUGUGGGAAGUGGGUGAUUGAACAGUAAGAUUCAUGUGUUUUCUACUUCCCCAUAAGUCUUUGACAGAAUGCCCAUAAUUUCCGCAAAGCUGAGUGUGCGUGUGACAGGUGCUGACAAGGCUGGAAAAGUAGGUGCCUCUUCGAUUUCUGAGAUCGGCCCUCGUGGUCUCUAGGGAGCCCAGCUUUUGAGAAAGCGAGCGCCUCUUCGAUUUCUGAGAUCGGCCUUCGUGGUCUUUGAGCAGCCCAACUUUUGAGAAAGCAAACGGCUCUUCGAUUUCUGAGAUCAACCCUCGUGAUCUCUAAGCAGCCCAGCUUUUGAGAAAGCAAACGCCUCUUCGAUUUCUGAGCAGGCGCCUCUUUGAUUUCUGAAGCUCCGUCGAGUGCAGAUUUUUAUAGGGGCUGGCAUUAAGUUCCAAAGCACACUUGAAUCUCCACCAGUAGAAGCUUCAUUCUUGCACUUCUAAGAUCUUGAUUUGUCCGACCUCUUCUCUCUUCAACACCUUUGAAAAUGUCUGGCCCCUCCGACCGUCGUUUUGACUUGAACCUUGUUGAAGAGGCAGCCCCGCCUUCUCCAGACAACAUAUGGCGCCCAUCCUUCGUCUCCCCAACUGGUCCUCUUACCGUUGGGGAUUCCGUGAUGAAGAAUGAUAUGACCGCUGCGGUGGUGGCCAGGAACCUUCUCACUCCCAAAGAUAACAGACUACUUUCCAAACGGUCUGAUGAGUUAGCUGUUAAGGAUUCGCUGGCUCUCAGUGUUCAGUGUGCAGGUUCUGUGUCUAAUAUGGCACAACGCCUAUUUGCUCGAACCCGCCAAGUUGAAUCAUUGGCGGCUGAAGUGAUGAGUCUCAAACAGGAGAUUAGAGGGCUCAAGCAUGAGAAUAAACAGUUGCACCGGCUCGCACAUGACUAUGCUACAAACAUGAAGAGGAAGCUUGACCAGAUGAAGGAAACUGAUGGUCAGGUUUUACUUGAUCAUCAGAGAGAUUUGUGGGUUUGUUCCAAAGGCAUUUAUUGCCUUCGUCUUCUGGGGCUGUACCGCGUAAUGAAGCUCCAAAUGAUCAACCUCUGAUGCCUCCUCCUUCUAGGGUUCUGUCCAGUACUGAGGCUCCAAAUGAUCCCCCUCCGGUGCCUUCUCUUUCUGGGGCUCUACCGACUGCUGAGACUUCUCCUAAGCAACCUUUGUGAAUGCUCCAUCUUGUGUGUUUAUUUUGACUCAUGUAUAUGUACAUAUUUGUAGCUUAUCGGGGAUAUCAAUAAAUAAGCUUUCCUUCAUUUCAACGUAUUGUGUUAAAUACACCAAAGCCUUCUUCGCUAAGUUCUUUGAAUUUUCUUUUGUUGAAGCUUGUAUGUUGAAGCUUUCUGAGUGGAGCAUGUAGGUUGGGGUAGUGUUCCCUUAAUUUCCCGAGUGAGGAAAACUUCUUGGUUGGAGACUUGGAAAAUCCAAGUCACUGAGUGGGAUCGGCUAUAUGAAUCUUAGAACGCCAUUGUGCUCGAUCCUGUGUCAUGUCCUUCGUUUAACCUUAAGUUCAUUAGUAGGAAUUCCUUGAGUACCCAAUAUAUAUGUAUUAACUAAGAUUGAAAUUACAAAAAGAGAAAAGGAUAAUUGGUGAAAGUAUAAUAUAUAUUUCUCAGUUAUUAGUGUAUCAUAAUUGUAGACAUUCAUUAGCUUGCAUGCAGAUUCUAUAGAGAUAGACUAGAAAGGAGAAAAAUGGUUUGGUCCUUUUAUCCAUAUUUGAGGACAGCACCAAUAAAUUUGUAUUAUGCCUGCUACCUUUAAAUGUGUAAAUUUAUUGG